AGCGAACGCCGGCGGCAGGCCUAACACAUGCAAGUCGAACGAACUCUUCGGAGUUAGUGGCGGACGGGUGAGUAACACGUGGGAACGUGCCUUUAGGUUCGGAAUAACUCAGGGAAACUUGUGCUAAUACCGAAUGUGCCCUUCGGGGGAAAGAUUUAUCGCCUUUAGAGCGGCCCGCGUCUGAUUAGCUAGUUGGUGAGGUAAAGGCUCACCAAGGCGACGAUCAGUAGCUGGUCUGAGAGGAUGAUCAGCCACAUUGGGACUGAGACACGGCCCAAACUCCUACGGGAGGCAGCAGUGGGGAAUCUUGCGCAAUGGGCGAAAGCCUGACGCAGCCAUGCCGCGUGAAUGAUGAAGGUCUUAGGAUUGUAAAAUUCUUUCACCGGGGACGAUAAUGACGGUACCCGGAGAAGAAGCCCCGGCUAACUUCGUG
This 433-nucleotide ribosomal RNA is filed under the name uncultured bacterium. RNAcentral describes it as "partial 16S ribosomal RNA". It matches the Rfam family "Bacterial small subunit ribosomal RNA", at positions 29 to 507 of the family's 1533-position model. The record is from RNAcentral.